GGGGAUGUAGCUCAGUGGUUCAGUAGCCUGCCUUGCAAGCACAAGGACCUGAGUUCGAUCCCCAGUACCCCCC
RNAcentral lists this transfer RNA (73 nucleotides) under Fukomys damarensis (Damara mole-rat). It matches the Rfam family "tRNA". Rfam says of the family: Transfer RNA (tRNA) molecules are approximately 80 nucleotides in length. Their secondary structure includes four short double-helical elements and three loops (D, anti-codon, and T loops). The record is from Rfam by way of RNAcentral. Lineage: Eukaryota; Metazoa; Chordata; Mammalia; Rodentia; Bathyergidae.